UACGUAGGGGGCAAGCGUUGUCCGGAAUCAUUGGGCGUAAAGCGCGUGUAGGCGGCCCGAUAAGUCCGCUGUGAAAGUCCAGGGCUCAACCCUGGGAUGCCGGUGGAUACUGUCGGGCUCGAGUCCGGAAGAGGCGAGUGGAAUUCCGUGGUGGUAGCGGUGAAAUGCGCAGAUAUCAGGAGGAACACCGAUGGCGAAGGCAGCCCCCUGGGCCAAUACUGACGCUCAGGCACGAAAGCGUGGGAGCAAACAGGG
This 255-nucleotide ribosomal RNA is filed under the name uncultured bacterium. RNAcentral describes it as "partial 16S ribosomal RNA". It matches the Rfam family "Bacterial small subunit ribosomal RNA", at positions 524 to 777 of the family's 1533-position model. The record is from RNAcentral.